RNAcentral lists this ribosomal RNA (567 nucleotides) under uncultured bacterium. RNAcentral describes it as "bacterial SSU rRNA". It matches the Rfam family "Bacterial small subunit ribosomal RNA", at positions 917 to 1482 of the family's 1533-position model. The record is from RNAcentral.
GGGCCCGCACAAGCAGCGGAGCAUGUGGUUUAAUUCGAAGCAACGCGAAGAACCUUACCAGGGCUUGACAUCCCUNUGAUCGGUGUAGAGAUACAUCUUCCCUUCGGGGCAGAGGAGACAGGUGGUGCAUGGUUGUCGUCAGCUCGUGUCGUGAGAUGUUGGGUUAAGUCCCGCAACGAGCGCAACCCUUAUGUUUAGUUGCCAUCAGGUAAAGCUGGGCACUCUAGAGAGACUGCCGGGGAUAACUCGGAGGGAGGUGGGGAUGACGUCAAAUCAUCAUGCCCCUUAUGUCCUGGGCUACACACGUGCUACAAUGGCCUGUAACAAAGGGAAGCAAGACCGUAAGGAGGAGCAAAUCCCAGAAACCAGGUCCCAGUUCGGAUUGUGGGCUGCAACUCGCCCACAUGAAGUCGGAGUUGCUAGUAAUCGCGAAUCAGCAUGUCGCGGUGAAUGCGUUCCCGGGCCUUGUACACACCGCCCGUCACACCAUGGGAGUCGGGGGCACCCGAAGCCAGUGACCGAACCGCAAUUUUNAAGCUGUCGAAGGUGAAAUCGNUGACUGGGGUG